ACGGCCUCGGGCCACACAGCCUCCUGCACACACUCCAGAGGGCACAGCGAGCCCACGUGUCCCUCAGAGCCCCAGGCACCAUCCCACACGCAGAUACCCAGGAGCCCAGCCUGUGCUUCCUGCGUCGCCCUGCCCACAUCCUCGUCGGCGUCUGCUGGGGGUAGGUCCUCCCGCCUCUGGGGACAGACACCAUGAUGCUGAGGAGUUAGGGGCGGGCCCUCAGCCUCCCCAGCCGCCUCAAGAGGAUGCCACUCUCCUUCCUCCCCCGUGCUUGUCACUUGGAGGAACGCGUGGAGAGGUUGCUGUCAUCUCUGCGCUCAUCUUUGUCCCUAGCUCUCAAAGUCGGCAAGUCUGUGACUGUUUCU
Molecule: long non-coding RNA, 365 nt
Organism: Physeter macrocephalus (sperm whale)
Lineage: Eukaryota; Metazoa; Chordata; Mammalia; Artiodactyla; Physeteridae
Exons: 3
Source: RefSeq, a predicted model, not a curated record